GAUGAAGACGUAGCGAAAUGCGAUACUUGGUGUGAAUUGCAGAAUCCCGUGAACCAUCGAGUCUUUGAACGCAAGUUGCGCCCGAAGCCAUUAGGCCGAGGGCACGCCUGCCUGGGCGUCACACGUCGUUGCCCCCCCAUCUACUCCUUCGGGAUUGCGGGGGGCGGAUGAUGGCCUCCCGUGCGCCUCGUCGCGCGGUUGGCAUAAAUGCCAAGUCCUCGGCGACACACGCCACGACAAUCGGUGGUUGCGAAACCUCGGUUGCCCGUCGUGUGCGGUCGUCGCGCAUCGAGGGCUCGAAAAAAUUGCCGGGCUCCGGCUCGGCUUUCAACGCGACCCCAGGUCAGGCGGGGUUACCCGCUGAAUUUAAGCAUAUCAAUAAGCGGAGGA
This 390-nucleotide unclassified non-coding RNA is filed under the name soil metagenome. Its description in RNAcentral is "partial contains 5.8S ribosomal RNA, internal transcribed spacer 2, and large subunit ribosomal RNA". The stretch from base 1 to 121 matches the Rfam family "5.8S ribosomal RNA", at positions 35 to 154 of the family's 154-position model. The record is from RNAcentral.